AUUGAACGCUGGCGGCAGGCUUAACACAUGCAAGUCGAGCGCGGGGCGGACGGGUGAGUAGUGUCUGGGAAACUGCCUGAGGGAGGGGGAUCAAUACUGGACACGGUCGCUAAUACCACAUACCCUCAUGUGUGCCCAGAGGGGAUUAGCUAGUGGGUGGGGUAAUGGCUCACCUAGGCGACGAUCCCUAUCUGGUCUGAGAGGAUGACCCGCCACACGGGAACUGGGACACGGUCCAGACUCCUACGGGAGGCAGCAGUGGGGAAUAUUGCACAAUGGGCGCAAGCCUGAUGCAGCCAUGCCGCGUGUGUGAAGAAGGCCUUCGGGUUGUAAAGCACUUUUAGCGAGGAGGCGUUACUCGAAGAAGAAGCACCGGCUAACUCCGUGCCAGCAGCCGCGGUAAUAC
Molecule: ribosomal RNA, 406 nt
Filed under: uncultured bacterium
Lineage: Bacteria
Description: partial 16S ribosomal RNA
Rfam family: Bacterial small subunit ribosomal RNA
Source: RNAcentral